AGAACGAACGCUGGCGGCAGGCCUAACACAUGCAAGUCGAACGCCCCGCAAGGGGAGUGGCAGACGGGUGAGUAACGCGUGGGAACGUGCCCUAAGGUACGGAACAACUCCGGGAAACUGGAGCUAAUACCGUAUGUGCCCGAGAGGGGAAAGAUUUAUCGCCUUGGGAUCGGCCCGCGUCUGAUUAGCUAGUUGGUAGGGUAACGGCCUACCAAGGCUACGAUCAGUAGCUGGUCUGAGAGGAUGACCAGCCACACUGGGACUGAGACACGGCCCAGACUCCUACGGGAGGCAGCAGUGGGGAAUAUUGGACAAUGGGCGAAAGCCUGAUCCAGCCAUGCCGCGUGAGUGAUGAAGGCCUUAGGGUUGUAAAGCUCUUUCGGUGGGGACGAUAAUGACGGUACCGCAGAAGAAGCCCGGCUAACUUCGUGCCAGCAGCCGC
This 442-nucleotide ribosomal RNA is filed under the name uncultured bacterium. RNAcentral's name for it is "SSU rRNA". It matches the Rfam family "Bacterial small subunit ribosomal RNA", at positions 26 to 518 of the family's 1533-position model. The record is from RNAcentral.